RNAcentral lists this ribosomal RNA (463 nucleotides) under uncultured bacterium. RNAcentral describes it as "bacterial SSU rRNA". It matches the Rfam family "Bacterial small subunit ribosomal RNA", at positions 331 to 792 of the family's 1533-position model. The record is from RNAcentral.
CCAGACUCCUACGGGAGGCAGCAGUGAGGAAUAUUGGUCAAUGGCCGGAAGGCUGAACCAGCCAAGCCGCGUGAAGGACGAAGGUGCCAAGCAUUGUAAACUUCUUUUGUCAAGGGACAAAAUCAGGCUCGAGAGCCUGACCGAGGGUACUUGAAGAAAAGGCAUCGGCUAACUCCGUGCCAGCAGCCGCGGUAAUACGGAGGAUGCGAGCGUUAUCCGGAUUUAUUGGGUUUAAAGGGUGCGUAGGCGGGCUUUUAAGCCAGCGGUAAACGCCCGGGGCUCACCCCGGGCGAGCCGUUGAAACUGCAUCCCUUGAGUGCGCGAGAAGUAUGCGGAAUGCGUGGUGUAGCGGUGAAAUGCAUAGAUAUCACGCAGAACUCCGAUUGCGAAGGCAGCAUACCGGCGCGCAACUGACGCUCAUGCACGAAAGCGUGGGCAUCGAACAGGAUUAGAUACCCUUGUA